AUUGAACGCUUGCGUCAGGCCUAACACAUGCAAGUCGAGCGGAUGAAGGGAGCUUGCUCCUGGAUUCAGCGGCGGACGGGUGAGUAAUGCCUAGGAAUCUGCCUGGUAGUGGGGGAUAACGUCCGGAAACGGGCGCUAAUACCGCAUACGUCCUGAGGGAGAAAGUGGGGGAUCUUCGGACCUCACGCUAUCAGAUGAGCCUAGGUCGGAUUAGCUAGUUGGUGGGGUAAAGGCCUACCAAGGCGACGAUCCGUAACUGGUCUGAGAGGAUGAUCAGUCACACUGGAACUGAGACACGGUCCAGACUCCUACGGGAGGCAGCAGUGGGGAAUAUUGGACAAUGGGCGAAAGCCUGAUCCAGCCAUGCCGCGUGUGUGAAGAAGGUCUUCGGAUUGUAAAGCACUUUAAGUUGGGAGGAAGGGCAGUAAGUUAAUACCUUGCUGUUUUGACGUUACCAACAGAAUAAGCACCGGCUAACUUCGUG
This 484-nucleotide ribosomal RNA is filed under the name uncultured bacterium. RNAcentral's name for it is "partial 16S ribosomal RNA". It matches the Rfam family "Bacterial small subunit ribosomal RNA", at positions 30 to 507 of the family's 1533-position model. The record is from RNAcentral.